Long non-coding RNA from Callithrix jacchus (white-tufted-ear marmoset), 3310 nucleotides. RefSeq lists it as uncharacterized. The record is from RefSeq and is a predicted model, not a curated record. NCBI's taxonomy places the organism in Eukaryota, Metazoa, Chordata, Mammalia, Primates, Cebidae.
GAACUACCUUGACUGUACAUUUACCUUGACUGAAGCUGUAGGUAGUGGGUAGGAGUUAUUAAAACAGUAGACACUGAAGAUAAAGAAGUAGGGAGAGGUGCUAAUAACUAAUAGAAAAUCCCACAGAGUAACUAAACCAUGAAGAUUCAAAUACGUUCAGAGGCUUAAGAAAAUAAGCCUAAAAAUUCAGUCUCACUGUAUAUUUUUUCUCACUUUCUCUCAUAGGCCUAAAUCUCAUUUUACUUGUUGGAGAAUUGCUGUCAUGUUUGUUAGUGUAUGUGAGGGGAGGUUAGAGGCUUUGAGAAAAAGGGUCAAGUUGUAGAAUAACCUCACUGUGGAGUGGGAAAGGGCACUUGUGCAACUGGUCAUUUCUAAUUGAGGGCUCAGGAAACAAAAUGACACUUGGGAGUUAGGCUUUGUAAGAUGAGAAUUUAAGGACUUGGGGAGAGGCAGUCCAGAGUAAACAAAUACUUAAGAGAUAUAUAUAUGAAAGUGUAUGGGAUAUGUGAGGAGUAGAGAACCAUAGUGAAAGAUGAGCCUGAAGAAAUAAGGGAGGGAGACUUGAAUGUUUAGAAUUUCCUAUGAAAUCAACGAAGAGGCACUGAGGGUUUCUGAGGAUAAAGUAAGGCAUCCCACCUGAGUAUUAAAAAUUAUGUAAAACUGGAAAAGUUACACUGCAACAGGAAAGGAGUACUGAAGACAAAAUAUAAGUGAAGGACAUAGACAUGUAUAAAGGGAGACUUUUAAGAGGCCAAAUGCAUAAUUUUGGGUGAAAACUGAUCACUUAGAGAGGAAGUGGAUGGAACAGCUGGCAGACACAGACAUUGCCAAAGCUAAAUAAAAGGCGAUAGUAAUUAUGAUGAUAAUAAUCUUGAUGACAAUGCUGAUACAACUAACAUACAGAGGGUUUAAUAUGUGCCAGACACUAGUCUAAGUUAACUUACCAAGUAAUUCAUUUACUGAAUGUAAAGAAUGAGAGGCAAAAAUAACUGAGAACCAAAAGGUGGCAUCAAGAUUUCAUUUCUCAAUAAAGAGUAGUAACAUCAACAGCAGAAAGAGAUCAAGAAGUUUCAAAGGAAGACAGGGGAAGGAUCCAACAAAAAUUUUCUAGUAACUCGCUAUGUGCCAUGCAUGGUUCUAGUUUUAUCAGUAAUGCGGAUAAAACAUCCUUGCCUUCACCAAGUUUAAAUUUAGUUGGUUAGGGGAGGAUGGAUACAGACAAAUAGAAUACAUACACUGUAAAGCUUGUUAAAAGGUAAUCAGUACAAUGUAAAAAAGGGGAAAAAUGAAAAAUGUGUGUAUGGAGAUGAAUAGGGGGGUUUUGAUUUUUAAAUAAUCAAUGUACCCCUCAUGAGAUGAAGUGAACACCUGAAGGACAUGGAGUAUUUCAGGCAAAGAGAAGAGCCAGUACAAAAGGUCUAAGUUAGAACUGUACCCAGUAUAUUCAAGUAAGCUAAUAUGGCUGAGAACAAUAGAAAAUGAGUUUCAGGGAGAAGUAUCAGGAAGCUUGAUCACCUAAGGCCUUGCAGAGCAUUUUAAAGACUAUCUUUUACCAAUGGGAAAAUGGAGAGUCACUGUUGGGUUCUGAACAGAAGUGUGAUAUGAUUUGAUUUAGAUGACUGAAGAUCACUCAGAGUGCUACAUAAAGAAUAAACUGCAAGCAAUGAUGGAAUUAGGGAGACCAAUGACUAAUGUAGUAAUGCAGGUAUGAGAUUAAAUUAAUUGCUUGAACCAUUACUAAAUGACUAAUGUAGUAAUGCAGGUAUGAGAUUAAAUUAAUUGUUUGAACCAUGGUGAGAAGUGAUUAAGAUUACAUAUAUGUAUUUUGAGAUAAGGUCUCACUUUGUUGCCUAGGCUGGAGUGCAGUAGCAGUGUUGACUUCCCCAGACUCGAGUGAUCCUCCUACCUCCACCUCCUGAGUGCUAAUUUUAAGGCAAUGGUAACAAGAUUUUUCAACACAAUGGAAUAUAGAGAAAAAUUAAAGAAACUGGGUCUCACUGUGUUGGCCAGGCUGGAUUUGAACUCCUGGGCCUCAGCCUCCAGAGUAGCUGAGACUACAGCUUUAUCUGGAAUGAGCAACAAUCAAUUCUUAUUCAACUGGGAUGUGGGAGAAGGACUGAUAGUGAAGUCACAGGUAAACAGUUGAAACAAAAUUUACUUCGGUGCUUAAGUGUAGUAUCUGCCACAUCUUGUAUUUGCCAACUACCUACCCUCCGUUUUCCUCUCUGUCAUUCUCCCCUCCCCAAAAUCCACAUUAAUGCUCAGUCUCAACCUGACUUCUAUCUCCUUCCGCAACUCCUCGUUGUCAAUCUACAUCCAAGGAAAAGCUCCAGAAAGAGAGGAAGGGAAGGGGGUCCAUGGAUACCUCGAAGUAGUAGACCAGCUACUACUACCAGCUCAGUUCUCUAUCCAGUUUUUAAUUAAAGCCUGUAAGCCCCAAUCUCAGAUGCCCCUUUUGGAUAGCAGGGUGGGGCUACAAGCAAAGGGGAGAGGGGAGAGUAGUUACAUGCAGCCCCAUUGCAAAGCUCUCUAGCCAGCAGGGACUCACUAGUGAAAUGCAGCCAGUUCUGGGUCCAAAAGCGUUGUGAGAAGGGGAGAGAGCCACCCAAUCAGCCCACCCCAAGGCUUAAUUCCUCUCCUCCCAAUGAAGAUCAGCCUCUGCCUAAUUAUAAACAGGGCUGGGGAAGGUAAGUAAGGGACUGCAGCUGUGUUCCCUAUCUGAAAAUCUAUUAACAUCAGAUAAUCAAAAGCACUUUAUAAAUAAAGCAUAUUUCUCAAAUUUAACCUAAAUUUUCGUCAAUUAAUCCAAAUAUCUAAGGAUUCAUGUUUAUAAAUGAAAUUAUUCCAAAAGGCAUCACACAACCGUGGCUACUCAUAUAGAACAAAACAACACCAGGGCCAGAACUAGGGUGAGGAAAUCAAAGGCCCGGGUGCAAAAUUUAAGGAGGCAUUCACACAUAAGCUUGUGCAUGUGAAAGGUUAGUCACUGAGAAUGAGUGCCUCCUUAAAUGUUUUACUAGGUUUUGCAAAAGCUUUUUCUUGAUGCUUAGGGGUCAAGAAUUUACAAUGUAAAUAAUAUGGGACAGCUAUAUAGAUAGAUGGCAUAAAACAUAAAAUCAAAUGGCUAAACAAACACAAAAUUGCAUGACUCUUUUUUUAAUAAAACAUUUUCUUAAUAAAAAAUCUUCUUAAUCUACUUUCAUAAAAAGUAAAACACCUUAAUUUAUAACCAUUUAUCUGUCAUACAUGUGGAGUCAAAAUGUUCCGCUCUGGCUGUGUUUUAACAAUCUAGAACAUAUCACACUAAUUU